AACGCGAAGAACCUUACCAAGGCUUGACAUCCCUUGCAUACCAUAGAGAUAUGGGAAGUCCUUCGGGACAAGGUGACAGGUGGUGCAUGGUUGUCGUCAGCUCGUGUCGUGAGAUGUUGGGUUAAGUCCCGCAACGAGCGCAACCCCUAUUGUUAGUUGCCAUCAUUAAGUUGGGCACUCUAGCGAGACUGCCGGUGACAAAUCGGAGGAAGGUGGGGAUGACGUCAAAUCAUCAUGCCCCUUAUGUCUUGGGCUACACACGUACUACAAUGGACGUAACAGCGGGAAGCGAAGGAGCAAUCCGGAGCAAAUCCUAUAAAAACGUCCUCAGUUCGGAUUGAGGGCUGAAACUCGCCCUCAUGAAGUCGGAAUUGCUAGUAAUGGCAGGUCAGCAUACUGCCGUGAAUACGUUCCCGGGUCUUGUACACACCG
This 432-nucleotide ribosomal RNA is filed under the name uncultured bacterium. Its description in RNAcentral is "bacterial SSU rRNA". It matches the Rfam family "Bacterial small subunit ribosomal RNA", at positions 958 to 1392 of the family's 1533-position model. The record is from RNAcentral.